RNAcentral lists this ribosomal RNA (497 nucleotides) under uncultured bacterium. RNAcentral describes it as "partial 16S ribosomal RNA". It matches the Rfam family "Bacterial small subunit ribosomal RNA", at positions 28 to 507 of the family's 1533-position model. The record is from RNAcentral.
GAUGAACGCUGGCGGCGUGCCUAAUACAUGCAGGUCGAGCGAACGGACGAGAAGCUUGCUUCUCUGAUGUUAGCGGCGGACGGGUGAGUAACACGUGGAUAACCUACCUAUAAGACUGGGAUAACUUCGGGAAACCGGAGCUAAUACCGGAUGAUAUUUUGAACCGCAUGGUUCAAAAGUGAAAGACGGUCUUGCUGUCACUUAUAGAUGGAUCCGCGCUGCAUUAGCUAGUUGGUAAGGUAACGGCUUACCAAGGCAACGAUGCAUAGCCGACCUGAGAGGGUGAUCGGCCCCACUGGAACUGAGACACGGUCCAGACUCCUACGGGAGGCAGCAGUAGGGAAUCUUCCGCAAUGGGCGAAAGCCUGACGGGGCAACGCCGCGUGAGUGAUGAAGGUCUUCGGAUCGUAAAACUCUGUUAUUAGGGAAGAACAUAUGUGUAAGUAACUGUGCACAUCUUGACGGUACCUAAUCAGAAAGCCACGGCUAACUACGUG